Molecule: transfer RNA, 87 nt
Filed under: Candidatus Peregrinibacteria bacterium RIFCSPLOWO2_01_FULL_39_12
Lineage: Bacteria; Candidatus Peregrinibacteriota
Also listed under: 2 other names
Description: tRNA-Leu
Rfam family: tRNA
About the family: Transfer RNA (tRNA) molecules are approximately 80 nucleotides in length.
Source: RNAcentral
GCCCGGGUGGCGGAACUGGUAGACGCGCGGGACUCAAAAUCCCGUGAUGGCAACAUCGUGAGGGUUCAAGUCCCUCCUCGGGCACCA